Cyprinus carpio (common carp) is the source of this 1045-nucleotide long non-coding RNA. The record is from Ensembl. NCBI's taxonomy places the organism in Eukaryota, Metazoa, Chordata, Actinopteri, Cypriniformes, Cyprinidae.
UGCACAUUGGCCCUUAAAGUGUCAAAUGUUUAGGCAGUGUGAAAUGACAAGCCUCAGAAAUGAAUAAGAAUUCAUGAAAUAGUGCUACUUAUGAUCUUAUCAACAAAUGUAUGAACUUUGGCCAGGUGCCAUACAAACAUCAGUAAAGUGAAUAUAUUUCGAUGCCAUAGUUAUUACAGAUAUUGUUUCUAAAAUAUAACUGGUUAAAACCUCAGGACAUUGGCAUUAGAAACAACUGGAGACAUCUCAAAAUGUACCAUUGAAAGAUCCCAUAUGUAUAUUAACUAUUUUGGUCACGAAAAUCAAUUUAUUACAUAGAUUUCAUAAAUGUUAGGUUUCAUAGACUGUAUCAUGUGACUAGUUCGCGCGUGAAGCAUCUUGACGUUUAUGGUCAAGCUCACGAACUGUGGCACACACAGCAUUAUUCUCCCAGACUGAAGAGUUUCUUUGCCACCGAGUAUUUACAGAUAUUUAAGUGAUUUUAUCUCAAGUUAUAUUGGAGAGAAUGUUGCACACACUUAUUUUGUUCUCUUUGAGUUUGUAUUCUCUGGCUGCCGUUGCUGCAGCACAACUUUCAGCUCCUCUGUUCCUCAGUGAAUCUGUGAUAGUGCUGAUCUCAGCUGCUGCUGGAUCUCUGGUGUAUAUGGUUUUGAUUUGGAUGUUUUGUGUGUGCAGGGGACACAAAGAGGCAGCUCAGACCCAUGAAUAUGAGACUCCUCAAUCACUCCACAAACAGAUUGGACAAAUGACGGUAAGUGUUAAAUACUAUUAAAUACCAAAUAUGUUUAACAAGUUUGUGAAAUAGCAUGCGGUAUAUGAUGUUAUUAUAUUCCAAAUAUGUCAUGCUUCCUGUGCUAACUGUUGUUAUCUGAUGUUGAACAUGUUUUAUGGUUUCUGCAGUUGUUUUGUGACUGUUUGCUGGUAUUAAAAUGUUGAUAAAUUUCCAUUCUAAAAUUUUAUGAUAAAACUCUUAAAAGUAUAAAAGACACAGAGACUCUUCCAUUACAAUACAAUACAAAAAUAAAUAAAUAAACCAUUCAGUGCA